Molecule: long non-coding RNA, 1057 nt
Organism: Xenia sp. Carnegie-2017
Lineage: Eukaryota; Metazoa; Cnidaria; Anthozoa; Malacalcyonacea; Xeniidae
Exons: 4
Source: RefSeq, a predicted model, not a curated record
ACAGUACUCACAUACUUAUUCUGCUCCUACAUCCCAUGUGUCGAAAUAUCUAUAGGCAGAGCUUGUCUUUGUUUGUAAAAACCUUUUUGUAAUCGACAAAUCGGUGGAUGCUUCCUAUAUGGUGCAUGGCAAAGCAGAGUGAGAACAGAUGACAAGGUUGAUCUACCCGUGUAGAGUCCAUUCUAUUGCAUCCCCUUAUCAAAGAGUUGGGUGAGGAAAUCCAGAACAGCACCCUGAGGUGGAUAUAUUGGAUCAAUAUGCCUUGAACAACAAUAUUUUCCCAUUUUGCAAGGCUUUAUUGGAGGAGCCCCAAAAGAGACGUGCACCUCAAUGAGGCCAAAUCCAAUGCGUCAUCAGGCUGAACCACAGACAACAAUUGCGCCGAUUACUAUUAAAGUUAGCGAUACUUACUACAACAAAAGUAGCAAGAUUGGUGUUUACGUAAAAGGAGUAAACAAAACAAUGUUUAGAGGCAUUUUGAUUCAAGCACGGGCUAUGGGUAGCACGGCAGCUCGAGGAUAUUUUUCCAUAAUUCCGACAAACACCAAAUACCUGGACUGCACAUCUGAUCGUUACAAUGCCGACAACAUGAGGUCUACCGUAACACAUAGCACCGCUCUAAACGUGGAUGUGGUUCAUCUGACAUAGCAGCCAACUGAGAUGUUAACCUCUAAUAUAUACUUCGUGGCAACUGUCGUACAAACAAGGCAAGUCUAUUGGGUUGGACUGAAAUCACCCAUGCUGAUGAUGAAAACGCCCAUGGAUGAAAAUACUGGAGGAAAAAAGGGAUCGUCGACUAAAUUAGUUGCCAACGCUUCGCUGUUGUUAAUGGCGGCUGUUGCCAGACUUCUAAUCAAAUGAAAACGAAUCAACUCACCAGAAAUCAAGGAGCGUACGUAAAGAAGCCUUGCAAGUUUAAAGAUAUUAUUCAUGUGUUAGCUAUUUAGGCAUAGUGCUAAAGAGGCCAAAUAAUUCAUACGGACUAAGUUAUGAAUCCAAAACAUAUAUCAACAAAGUUCUUUGUACAACGAGUAUAGUUAAGUGGAGUCAUGUUAUA